UCUAUAACACCUUACUUUAGAAAACUUUACUUUACCUCUUGCCAAACAAAGUAUAAGGGUAUAAAUUUGUGCAUAGAUAUUUGUAGCCCCUCCCCCACCAACAAAAAAAAAAAAGAAAAAAGAAAUUAUUUUAUGGAUUACAUGAACUGGAACACAUAAAAGAGCCUUCAAGAAAGAAGAAUUGUUUCUCUAUUCUUAAGGAUAUGUGGUUUGAAACUUUUGUCUAAUUGGACAACACUUCAUGGAACAUUUUCAUCUCAUCUUGUAAAUUAUUCUAUUUUUUGUACUAAGUUGACACCACUUUGGUGUUGUUCUAUCAUCUUUUAUUAGCUAAAAAAUAAUAAUAAUACUUGCAUACAAUAAAAGAAUAGUGGGCCAGUAACUGUUAUCAAAUGGUUACCUUAUGUCUCAAAUCAAACAAUCUUUUAGAAAGAAGAAAGAGAUCUCUCAAGCAGAAUUACCAGUCUUUCCAUUAGUUGAUCUAAACAUUAUACAGAUGGCAGGUCAACAAAUUAGGCAGCCAAGAGCAAUGGUCAAGAUCAUUUCAAUAUAAACCAAUGUUAUAAGUUAUAGGGAGUAAAUAUGUUAAUAUAGGAAGUAAAUAUCGAUAGAUGGAUCAAUUACUUAAUCUUAGGAUUAUAUAAUCAUAGACUUGAUUUUCCUUUCUGUUUAGAUAUCGCCUCUCAUGUAUAAAUAGGUUGUAAUCUCUAUUAUGAAAUACAACAACAAAUAUUAUAUUUCUACAUGGUAUCAGAGUCAUUCUCGUAGAGAUUUAAUUUUUUUUUUCUCUCGUCAAGUUUUAAAAUUUUUGGAGACUUAGGGCUCAUAUUCUUUUGUGUUAUUCAUCUAGGGUAAUAUUUGUCUCUCAUCGUCCACCUAGAGAGUACGCCGAAGUUGUCUUACAACUCGCUUAUCAAAUCUGUGGUUUGUUUGCCGUUUAGAUGUUGGGUGGAAGCUUUUAGUUGUCUUGCAACCCGCUUAUCAGAUCUGUGGUUCGUUUGCCGUUUGGAUGUUAGGUUAUCUUCCUUUAAUUCAUUUGAAGGCAAAGGAGUAUAGAAUUUUGGUUGAAAUGGUUUUUGACAGUAAGACCCAUAUUAUUAAAAUUACCACAACGUCUUCAGUAGCGGCUAAGACAGGUAAAACGUGAUUUUGGGUUACCCAUAAAGCGUAACAUUUGAAGACUUAGGGCUCUAUUCAUUUGGGUUACUCAUAAAGGGUAACAUUUGGAGACUUAAGGCUCUGUUCAUUUUGGAUUACCCAAUAAAGGGUAACAUUUGGAGACUUAGGACUCUAUUCAUUUGGGUUACCCAUAAAAGAUAACAUUUGGAGACUUAGGUUAUGUUCAUCGGGAUUACCCAUAAAGGUAUCAUUUGAAAACUUAGAACUCCGUUCAUUUGGAUUAUCCAGUGUAACAUUUAGAGACUUAGAACUCUUUUCAUUUGGGUUACCCAUAAAGGAUAACAAUUGGAGACUUAGGGCUCUGUUCAUCAGGAUUACCUAUAAAGGGUAACAUUUGGAUACUUAGGACUCUGUUCAUCGGGGUUACCCAUAAAGGGUAACAUUUGGAGACUUAGAACUUGUUUAUUUGGCUUAUCCAUAAAGAGUAAUAUUUAGAGACUUAGAGUUCUGUUCAUCAGAAUUACUCAUAAAGGGUAACAUUUAGAAACUUAUGGUUCUGUGCAUUUGGGUUACCCAUAAAGGGCAACAUUUGGAGACAUUGGGCACUGUUCAUCGGGUAUUGUUCACGGGAACUGUUCACGAGUUACUGUUCACAGGUUCUAUUAUUAUGAUCCUUUGUUUAUUUUGAUUUUUUUGGGUUGGUUGUUCUUAUGACUAAAAUUGAUUAUAUAUGUAACAAGUUGAACAUGAUUAACAUUUAUACUCCAACUUGAGGGGAGUGUUAUAAGUUAUAGGGAAUAUAUAUGUUAAUAUAGAAAGUAAAUAUCGAUAAAUGGAUCAGUUACUUAAUCUUAGGAUUAUAUAAUCAUAGACUUGAUUUUUCUUCCUAUUUAGAUAUCGUCUCUCAUGUAUAAAUAGGUUGUAAUCUCUAUUAUAAAAUACAACAACAAAUAUUAUAUUUCUACAACCAACAAGAAUGAAAAAGCAUCAUUUUGGAUCUAGGAAUGGUUACUUCAACUUAAUUUUGAAGAUAUGCAAAUCCAAUCCCCGUACACAUUCUCGUACUUGUCUACUUGAUACUCAUAUCAAACUGUGAUAUACAAUUUCAUAUGUCAGAUUACCAUUGAAUUGACAACAUAACCAUAAAGAGAUAGGAAGCAAUAACAUGAAGUAAAUUCCUGCCUGGCUGGGUAACUUGGACUCAAAUGUCAAAUCUGGCUUAGCCAGAUGUAAAGGAGUUCCAGCCAACUGCAUGUGAAUAUUUCACAGCUAGUUCACUAAUAUUAAAUUGUAGUGGCGAUACAUUUUAUAAUUUAAUAUUAUUAAUUUUUAUUUUAUUCUUAUAUCUUAAAGUUUGAUUGUUGAUACUUUAUCAACAUUCUAAUAAAGUUAAAUAGCAAAAUGCACUUGAAUAGAAAAUUUUAGUUUCU
RNAcentral lists this long non-coding RNA (2549 nucleotides) under Manihot esculenta (cassava). RNAcentral describes it as "long non-coding RNA (MESC_LNC001354)". Lineage: Eukaryota; Viridiplantae; Streptophyta; Magnoliopsida; Malpighiales; Euphorbiaceae. The record is from RNAcentral.